ACGUAUCUCCGAGUCUGGUGGGCGUCGGCCUCGCGUCGUGCCCCCGGCUCAAACCCACAAACCCCACCGUGCUCCUUCACGGCCCAGGGCGCCGUCGGCGGAAGCCGCGUGCCCAAAGCCGCAUUCAAAUAGACACCAGUCAAAAGAAUGUAUUGCAGACUCUGAUCUGCCCACAAUUGAAA
Molecule: unclassified non-coding RNA, 182 nt
Filed under: uncultured fungus
Lineage: Eukaryota; Fungi
Description: sequence contains ITS1, 5.8S rRNA gene
Source: RNAcentral